UCUNNGNAGGUGAACCUGCGGAGGGAUCAUUACUGAGUGAGGGCUUCGGUCCGACCUCCAACCCUUUGUGAACCAAACUUGUUGCUUCGGGGGCGACCCUGCCGCUUCGGCGGUGCGGCGCCCCCGGAGGCCAUUAAACACUGCAUCAUUGCGUCGGAGUUAAAGUAAAUUAAACAAAACUUUCAACAACGGAUCUCUUGGUUCCAGCAUCGAUGAAGAANGCAGC
This 226-nucleotide unclassified non-coding RNA is filed under the name uncultured fungus. RNAcentral's name for it is "sequence contains ITS1, 5.8S rRNA gene". The stretch from base 178 to 226 matches the Rfam family "5.8S ribosomal RNA", at positions 1 to 49 of the family's 154-position model. Lineage: Eukaryota; Fungi. The record is from RNAcentral.